GAUGAACGCUGGCGGCGUGCCUAAUACAUGCAAGUCGAGCGAACGGACGAGAAGCUUGCUUCUCUGAUGUUAGCGGCGGACGGGUGAGUAACACGUGGAUAACCUACCUAUAAGACUGGGAUAACUUCGGGAAACCGGAGCUAAUACCGGAUGAUAUUUUGAACCGCAUGGUUCAAAAGUGAAAGACGGUCUUGCUGUCACUUAUAGAUGGAUCCGCGCUGCAUUAGCUAGUUGGUAAGGUAACGGCUUACCAAGGCAACGAUGCAUAGCCGACCUGAGAGGGUGAUCGGCCACACUGGAACUGAGACACGGUCCAGACUCCACGGGAGGCAGCAGUAGGGAAUCUUCCGCAAUGGGCGAAAGCCUGACGGAGCAACGCCGCGUGAGUGAUGAAGGUCUUCGGAUCGUAAAACUCUGUUAUUAGGGAAGAACAUAUGUGUAAGUAACUGUGCACAUCUUGACGGUACCUAAUCAGAAAGCCACGGCUAACUACGUG
RNAcentral lists this ribosomal RNA (496 nucleotides) under uncultured bacterium. RNAcentral's name for it is "partial 16S ribosomal RNA". It matches the Rfam family "Bacterial small subunit ribosomal RNA", at positions 28 to 507 of the family's 1533-position model. The record is from RNAcentral.